This is a long non-coding RNA of Alligator mississippiensis (American alligator), 3269 nucleotides long. RefSeq lists it as uncharacterized. The record is from RefSeq and is a predicted model, not a curated record. The transcript is spliced from 3 exons. NCBI's taxonomy places the organism in Eukaryota, Metazoa, Chordata, Crocodylia, Alligatoridae.
CUGGCUGGAGGUACAGCAACAUCACCUGGCUGCAAGGCUACAUGGAACACACUGGAGAAAACCCAGAGCUUCUCAACAUUGGAUGACUGAGUUUCUGGAUCAGAGACUUUUUUUAGAUUUGUGUAGAGCUGGCGAAGCAACGGAGGAGACUACUCUGUCAGUAGGUCCAGUCCCAAGGGGUGAAGAUAACUGCUUUGGGACCCUAGAAGGAAGAAGAGAUGUGGAUGAGAUUACAUCUCCAGCAGGGGUGAAUCCAUCCUGACCCUGAUGGCCCAGGCUAAAAAGCCCAGCUAGAGAAGAGGGGUGGAGGCUGAGAAGGUCGCAGCCCCAACAAGAGAAUGAUGGUACAAUGACAUUUGCGAGGCAUAGACAUAGUGUAAAGGGGAGGUUGGUGUCAUGUAAUUAGUCCUUAAGGUUAUGGGUACUCCUGGAGAAGGACGGGCCAAGAGAGACCAUCCAUCUCAAAAGGCAGGAUUGAGACUGGUAGACAGGAGGGACCUGCUAGCUAUUUGACAGAUUGAGGCUUACUCUAGGGCCCUUAGGCAGCCUCCCUUUCAAUCCAAUAUGCAUAUUGAGGCAUGGUGGGUGAGAAGGAGGGGAGGUUACCCUUAAGGCAGAGUGGGACAUGGAUUAUGGUGUUUCCAGGGGGGAUGUUCCAACCACCCUGGAGUGCAACAGUUACAGCAACUCAGUGUUUCCAUAUACAUUGCAUAGGCUUUUGCACCUUGGAGACAUCAUUUCAGUUUCACUUUAUGUUUCAAGCAAGGAUUUAGCAUGGGAGGCAGCAGUUAAGAGUUAUAAUGGUACCAGUUGGACCUCAUCAUCACUAGGCAGUCCAAUCUCAGUAAUGUCCUCCUUUCAUAGCUGAUUGCAACACUGAUCACUCACUUGUGGUCACUAAGAUCAAACUGAACCAAAGAAAACCUUUGGCUUUAAGUAUCAGUGUUUGCUGCACAUUACCAGCAUCAUCACCAAUACAUCUUAUCAUGAGAAAAUCUUGCAGUUUAUAGAGGCUCUAGAAGUUGCUGCUUCAAAGAGACUGCAGAAGAGAAGUGGGGAAGCCUCAAAAAACCCAAAAACAAACAAAAAAGGGUCUCUGUCACCACUAGCUCCAUAUUUGGCAAGCAGGUCUGAAGAAACCUGGAUUGGAUCACAGGAAUUGAUUCCAUUUAUUAAUUCCAAACAAACUGCUAUUUUAAAUCACAAGAAGAAUGCCUCAGAUGGAACUUCGAAGGAACUGAGGAAAACAUGGAAUGCUGUCCAACAAAUCUCAAGAUGCUGCACCAAUGAUUAUUGGCUGCAAGAAUGCAAGGAAAUUUAAUCCCUAUUUGACACUAGAAACAUUAGAAGCAUGCAUGAUGGAAUCAAGAAGGCAAUAGGUCCAACUACAAAGAAGUUGGUUCUGUUAAAAAGUAUCAGGAAAAGUCAUAACAGAUUGAAAGCAGCAGUUGGAAAGAUGGGUAGAACGUUAUCUUGAACUCUGUUCAAGGGAAAAUUAUGUCACUGACACAGCCCUUAAUUUCAUUGAGAUGCUGUUUGUCCUUGAAGAGUUCAACAAUAUUUUAGCUGUUGAGGAUGUAAGUAAGGCCAUAGACAAUCAGACCGUUGGCAAGGCCCCUGGAAAAUUAUUGCAUUCCUGUGGAAGUGAUCUAGUAUGGGAAAUCUGUGCUUCUCCACCUACACGAGCUUCUUACUCACUGCUGGACAUUCAGGACAGUACCACAAGCUAUUUGAGAUGCCAAAAUAGUCACUCUGAAUGGGAAUAAAAGUGACUACAGUGACUGUAACAACUAUUGUGGAAUUUUACUACUAAAUAUUGUUGGAAAGAUCAUUGUUUAGGUAGUGCUCAGAAGUGCUCAGAUCUUGACUCACUUUUUACCCUGAUUUACAGUGUGGUUUCAGAGCUAGUAGAUCCACCAUAGAUAAGAUCUUCUCACUCUGACAAAUCCAAGAAAAUGUAGGGAACAAAGGAGAACCCUUUACAUUGCUUUCAUUGACCUGACUAAGGCCUUUGAUUUUGUUAGCCGAGAAGUUCUCUUCCAAUUACCAGAAAAGAUUGUUCUAUCUACCACAACUCCUCAACAUAAUCCAUUUUUCUUAUGUUGCAAUGCAGGAAACAGUCAGCUAUGGUGGAUCCAUGUCAAGCUUUUGAGACCUGAAGUGUAUUCAAUCAGAACUGUGUCCUUACCCCAAUCCUGUUUGGGAUUUUUUUUUCCUCCUUCUUUCAACAUAAGCUUUUGGAACCACCACUGAAGAAAUGUAUCUACAUGCACACUCAGAUGGAAAAUUAUUCAACCUCUCUUGUAUGGGGAACUCUUCACAGGAAGAAGACCACGUGGGCAACCUUGUUUCUGGUUCAGAGAUGGUUGCAAGAGAGAUAUGAAAGCAAUGAACAUCAAGCCAAAUGACUGGGUGAAGAUUGUUGAGUUUUGAAGUGCUUGGAAACAGUUUAUUAAGCAUGGAAUUAAAGUUUUGGAGGAAAGAAUAGCCUACAUGAAGAGGAAAGAGGAAACCUUGGGAGAACCUACAUUCAGAAUUGUUUGCACCACAGUCAGAAUUGUUUGAUAUAACUUCAAAUACAGGAAACCCUUGCCAUUUGUGUGGAAUAGGUUCCAGAGAUCCCUCUGAAUGGCGAAAUCUGCGAAUCCGUCAGGAGCAUGGCGGCAGUGGCGGGAGCGUGGGGCCUGGUGGAGGCAAGCUCAGAGCUCUCACAGACACUGCUGGAACUGUUAGCAGCAGGAAGGGGGCGGGGAGCAUAGUGGGAGCAUACGGGGAGAAAGCAUGCAUAGGAGAGAGCGUGGGUUUGAAUAUUCGAAACCGCGAAUGGUGAAUUCAUGAAUGGCAAGGGCUUCCUGUAUGAGAAAUGUGGAAGAGUCUGUCACACAAGCGUUAGGCUCUACAGCCACACUUACAGAUGUACAGUGAGUUGAUGCCUCACUCAGCACAAUUCUAUUGUCCUGUGAGACAGAUGCCAAUUACUACUAGUGUAGCUUUGCUUGAUAUAACAAGUGGCAGUACAAGAAUGAGCCAUAUGUCAGAACUUCAGUUAAAUCCUUUUAGAUUCAUGCGCCUCUCUUGUUAGUACAUAGCAUGUUAUAGUGCCUCAUUUUAAUUUAACACAGUUAUUGAAAACAAAGCAUAGUGCAAAUAAACUGUGAACAUAAAGAUACAUAUUAACAAAUUAGAUAAUGUUUAUAGAGUACUCUGAAAAUGCAUGAGGCUUUAUUGGUAUUGCAUGUUAUUAACUUGAAAUAAUUAAAACAUAAAAU